AACAAACAAAAAACCAACCUGGCUAUUCCUAGGAAUGAUAAAAUAUCUUCCUUUGUAGAAGGAACAGUUAGAGAAUGGAUCAGAAUCUUUCUAUCUAGGGUAAUAGCUUUUUAGGUUGGGGUAAUUGUUCGUCCCAAAUAGAUGACCAAAGGACUGGACUUUAGAAGGUGAGACCCUGUAACCUUUACUGAAAAUGAAAUUCAGAAGAGCAGAGGUGUCAGUUUGGCAAAUUUUUUGAGAGGGGUUACACAGAAGAAUGCAAUCUAUAUAGUGGACAGUCCUAGAUUUAGGGAGAGAAAGAGAGAAGGUAAUUCAGAAACCAGGGCCUGGCCAAAUUGGUGUGGGCUGUGCUGGAAUCUCUGAGGUAGAACAGUCCAGGUAAGUUGUGUAGAAAAGUGGGUGUCAGGAUCUGUUCAGGAAAAGGCAAAUAUGUUCUGUGACUGGGUAUCUAGAGGGAUAGAGAAAGUAGCAUCCGGAGAUCUAAGAUUGAGAAAUGAGAAUUCCCCAAGGGGAUAGUGGGAAGAAGUGUAUAAGGAUUAGCCACAACAGGAUGUACAGGAACUAUGGCAGAAUUAAUGGACCUGAGGUUUUGAACCAGGAGAUAGGUUCCACUAAGUUUCCUAACUGCUAAUGUAGGGGUUUUAAAGGGGGAAGAGGUAGGGCAAAGGAGGUUUUUCCUUAAGAGAUCAGAGGUGAUAUACUUAAGGCCCCUGAGGCUCUGGAGUGAAAGCAGGUAUUGAGGUUGGGUGAUGUACCUGGUAGAAUUCAGUAAUUGCUUGACAACAGGAGAAUGUUUAGCAGCAGAGGGGUUCUGGACAUCCCUGACAAGGAGGUCUACUUGAGAAGCUGGCCAGAAGUCAACUUGCAUUAGAAAAUGUGCUAUUACCAAGAAGCAUGUCACCAAGACAACCGAAUAGAACUGUCCAGAGUAUGUCCUUCUGCAGAAAUAUCAAUUGAGACAACUAUCCAGGCAUGAAAUACCUUCAUAAGAACUAAACAAAACAGGGAAAGCUCCUUAAACCAGAAGAGAGUUGUGGCAAAAAAAGACACACUCAACCAAGAGUUGCGAUGAAAGCAAUGUGUCACAUGAAUUGCCAAUACUUACACUAGUUAAAAGAAGAAAGAAACAAAAGAAAAUAGAGCAUCAUUAUAUAAAAGAGUCAACUUAUCAAGCAGAACCAUCCCUUUAUUCUUCUUCUUUCCCCUACAAUGAAGUGAUUCUUUACAACAUCCUGUGCUCCUUUUAAAGCCCAUUGGUUCCUUGUGGUGCUGUCAGAAUGUACAUGAGGAACGUCUACUGAAGAAAGGAAAGCCUCUCAGAAGCCAAAUACCUGAAGAAAACUCACUCUGCCUCUCAUAAGAAUCCAUCAGUGGCCAAUAUCACCUCAGUGUUUCCACAGGACGUAUCCCAGAUGAUUGAGUCGGGGGAAAGUCUACAAAAGUUUGGAUGUUGAUUAUUUCCUAAUAUCCCAGAAAUGAGAGGAAAGCCUAAACAUGAUCUAGGAUUAAGGAUACCAGCUUUUGCAGAAGAACUAAAACAACUACCCAUGUCUAAACAAGCAACUACUAGACUCUUGGGCUUCCCAUUCACAACUGCCCAUUGUUGGGUUAGCUGGACUACUGACUAGUCACCAGCCAACAAACAGGCAUUAAAUUCACCAUCCUAAGGAAAUUAUUCAUACUCAAAACAUAACAGCCAAAAGUCAUGCACUUGAAGACUUCUGUCUCUACUCCUCUAUUCUACGGAUAAAGUGAAACCAUAACUUUCAGGAAAAGAAAACAUGAGCCUGACAAGAUCUUCCUGGCUGUUGACCUGCGCAGCUGGAGAAAUCACUAUUGCAGCACAGCUGGACCUGUGGGUUGUGAGAGCUGUGGCUUCGACUUUUACAGAAAAGAUUCUGCUGAAGAGAAUGAGAAGGAAGAGCAUACAUGGCCAAGAACCUGCAGGGUAUAAAAGACCCCAGCACCCAGAUGGAAAGGUGGAGCCCACCCUCUCCCAAAAUACUUCAUUUCUCCAAAAAAAAGAGAAGUCAAUGGGAGAUAUGAAGCCUGAACUAACCAUGCAAGGAUCCCCAGGUUGUGACUAUGACACCAACCCAGUCACAAAACCUUCAACUUACAUUUGUUCUGCCUGGAAAAUGAACUAGGGUAAUGGUGACUCUCAGAAGGUGCGUGAAUGAUCAACCAAUUUUCAGUUUAACUUGAGGUCCAUACCACUAGAGGGAUCCCAUACCCAGCACAGCUUAGAUAGACUGAAAUAGACACUGGAGAGCCCAGAAACCUAAGAUAGAAACUAACACUUCCCAUCCCACCAAUCCACACCAUACCCUGCCCCCAAAAUCAAUGAAAUUAUUUCCAAUGAUAUCAUGCUAUACUCAUUGAUCUAUGCCCAGCCCAACUGUGAUCCGAGAUGUUUCCUCCAAUAACUAAUUAAAACAGAUAUAGAGACACAUUGCCAAAGUUAUGGCAGAGCUCUGCGAACCCUGUGGAAAAUUGGGAGGAAACAUUGUAGGAACGAGAAGGAUCAAGGACACUCCUAGAACAUAGCUAACAGAAUCAACUACACAGGGCUUAUGGGAGCACACAGAGACUGCAUUGACAAUCACAGAGCUUGUUUGAGACUACACUAAGUCCUACACAUAAAUGUUUGGUUGUGUAGCUCGUUCUUCAUGUGGAACUCCUAAGUUAUUCUGUGGCAGUUGAAGAGGGAUAUGUCUGACUAUUUUGCUUGCUUUAGAGACCCUUGUUUCCUACUGGGUUGCCUCAUCUAGGCUUGAUAUGAAGAUUUGUGCCUAGAACAAUUGUAACUUUUAUGCAGCCUUCAGUUGCUAUCCCUGGGAAGCAGGUUCUUUUUCUAAGUGUGGUGGAGGUGUGGGGAGGUGAAGGGAGAUGGGGAGAAGGAAAGAAAGGUGGAGAUAUAGUGUCUGAAUGAAGAAUAAAUUACAAUGGUGGUGGUAGGGGGAAUCAAAGCAGGAUUCAAGAUAGGAACCCAGAGACAGGAACUGAUGCAGGGACAGUGGUGGAGUGCCACACACUGCCUUGCUCCUUAUCGUUUAAUUAGCCAGCUUCCUUACACAAUGCCACCUGCCCAGGGGUAUAGUCUGCAAGAAGCUUAACCCUUCAAUAUCAGUCAUUAGUCAAGACAAUACUCAACAGGGAAGCCUAAGCUAGUCAUUUGUUGGCCUUUUCUCAGUUAAGAUGAACUUUUCCCAGGCAUGUCUAGGUGGGUGUCAAACUGACAAAACCUGGCCAGCACACUUUGGUUCCUGUGUUAUUAUGUUAUGGGAAGGGGUGAACUUCCUGACAUGAGUGAGUCCCAGUAAGAAAGGGUCAGAGAUAAAAUCUUAACUCCAAAGAGAAAAAUAUGUAAACAGUGAAAGAGAAAAUAA
This 3389-nucleotide small RNA is filed under the name Rattus norvegicus (Norway rat). RNAcentral's name for it is "uncharacterized LOC102556133". Lineage: Eukaryota; Metazoa; Chordata; Mammalia; Rodentia; Muridae. The record is from RNAcentral.